Molecule: transfer RNA, 66 nt
Filed under: Propeamussium sp. mt1
Lineage: Eukaryota; Metazoa; Mollusca; Bivalvia; Pectinida; Propeamussiidae
Description: tRNA-Ala
Source: RNAcentral
GGCUCUAUAUUUUAACCUAGAAUGGCUAAUUUGCACUUAGUUGGUGGGAUUUUUAUUCCUAGAGCU